AUUAGUUUAUAUAGUUAUUUUGAUAGCAUGAUUUUAAGAAUAAGUGGAUUUUAUAAUCAGUUCUUUUUAAAACUAAAUUCAGUACAAUUAAAUCAUUUACAUAGCAUUUAUAUUCGUAUUACAUAUUUCAGCUUAUUUAAAGUUAUUUUUAAAAUCACCAGAAAGUAAUCAGGUGAUUUUACCCUAGUCUGCAUUGGUGUGAAUGUGUUUCGACAGUGUAAGAGCGGUUAUGGUGAUUUUACCUUCUCUGCAGUAUUGUGAAUGUAUUUUCAUAAUGUAUGACUAGAUUAUGACAUUUGGGUAGCUUUGUGCCUGUAUGACAGUAUUGCAGAAUUUUAGAACUUAAUAGCCUUGUCAUGUAGAUCUAGAUUAAUUGGUACAUGAAUAUGGUUAUUCCAGGUACAUUUUUUGUGUGAUUUUCAGUAAUAUAUACAACUUAUCAGAUUUCAAAUUACAGAAUUUAGUUUAAUCGGUUUGAAGAAUAAAGAUUUCAAUUUAUUGUAUUGUGAAAAGAUUUUUUUUACUCAUAAUAUGGAUGACAAAUUUAUUAUAUCUUUUAUACCUUACAGUGAUUUAUUCAGAAUAAAUAGUAAAGAAUUUUAUGAUUCCUUUAUGUUUUAAUCUUAAAAGUAUUAUUAGAUUUUAGACUUUCUUAAAGUUUUAAUGGCAUAAGUAUUUUCAAAAAGCUUAUAUAAAUAGAAAAAAGUGUACUUAUUUGCGAAUUGUUCAUUCACUGAGUUACAAGCUCAUAUAUUUUGUCAUCCAUUUUUUCCUUAUCAGAUACUAGUUGAGUUGAGCAGCGUUGGAGCCUGUUAAUCUACCAAGUUGAGUCAUACAUUAUCAUUAGUUGGAUGAUUUGUUUUGUUAGUUUAUAUAGUUUUAUGAUUCUUUUGUAAUACAUACAUAUGUUAUCAUAAAAGUUAAUUUGUAAUUCAUGUAUCCAUAUCAUGGGCUCUCUACAUUUUUGUAAAUGUUGUACAUUUGGAGUCUUUUGGCUUGUAAAGGAGUUUAAAUAUCAUUCUAGUAAACUAUAUUUUGAAUAGUUGUGUUUUGGGAGGUUGGUGUACCUUAUUUUAAAUUAUAUGUACAGGUUUGAGAAAAUUGAUUAUCAUUCAUGUGGUUUUAG
This 1126-nucleotide long non-coding RNA is filed under the name Olea europaea subsp. europaea. Lineage: Eukaryota; Viridiplantae; Streptophyta; Magnoliopsida; Lamiales; Oleaceae. The record is from RNAcentral.